This 27-nucleotide small RNA is filed under the name Bombyx mori (domestic silkworm). Its description in RNAcentral is "ovarian small RNA-12523". Lineage: Eukaryota; Metazoa; Arthropoda; Insecta; Lepidoptera; Bombycidae. The record is from RNAcentral.
AUCUACCAGCUAACCGUUCUUAAAGAG